This is a long non-coding RNA of Manis pentadactyla (Chinese pangolin), 7276 nucleotides long. RefSeq lists it as uncharacterized. The transcript has 2 exons. The record is from RefSeq and is a predicted model, not a curated record. Lineage: Eukaryota; Metazoa; Chordata; Mammalia; Pholidota; Manidae.
AUUGUUGUGAAAUUACAAUGCAGACUGCAUGGAAAAUGGCUGAAAGUGGAUGGAGCUCAUCAUUACCUCUGAGAAUAGAAGCCUGGGAUAUGCCCUCUAAGAAAAAACUCCAAAUGCAGCAGAUUAAGUUAGUGUCAUCCCGAUCGAUCAUCAUAAUAUCCAAGCAUAAUCCUGAAUGUACAUUUCUGACAAAAUCUGUCCAAAGGUGCAGUGAAAGAAUUUGUCCAGCCUGAUUCAUUAGCUUUUCCAAAAUGGCUUACUCACCAGAGCCAAGUUUUCCCACUUUCCCAGUCCUCUGAUUGACCUAUGAUUUCCCCCGUAAAUGCGAUACUCAGGUAGGUCUCUGUGGUAUGACCCACAGGUUAUGUUAAUGAGCAUUCUUCCCAUGAAGUAACUCAUGAGCAAAAACAGGAAUUAAAAAAAAAUUUUUCUCUCUUCAGGUUCACAUUAUAACUAAAGGUUACCACACUAAAAGUUGAACCCAGAGAGCUGACAGCAAGGAAACCCUUUACAGAUGAGAAGUCUUAAUUGGAAGACCGAGGAGAGAUAAGUGUUUCCAUGCCUACCAUGAGGCCCACAAGAUGACACAUGUUCAAGAUUGUAGUGACAAAAAAUGCCAAAUUAAGUUAAUGUAAAUAUUUAAAACUUAAAACUUCAUAGAUAAUUUUUUUCUUUUAUCAAGUGUGAAUAGAAGUAAGAUUCUUGUGAUUCUUGUCACUUUGCUCCUUCUUCUUUGGUUAGUGGGAACCUGGAAUAGCUACAGAAUCUUGGGAAAAUGGUUCCAGUUCCUCCACGCCAUUUCCUCAACUGCACAGCAGACAAUAAUGAUGUGCACAAGUCACAGCAUUUUCAUGAAUGUUAGAGUGCCUGGCACAUAAUAUGCCCCUCACAAUUAUAAACAAUUUCAUCCCUGUCUAUCUCUUCCCUUCCAUGAAAGUUUACUACCAACACUAAAGAGCUCGCCUCUGCAAACAGGGCUUUCUAGUUCUUAAAAAGACAUAUAUACUCCUUUCUGUUUCUUGGCUAGUUCUCAGUGAACUUUUUCUCCUAUUGAGGUGCCCUCCACUAAGCAGAGAGCUAGAGUUGUCAUCUCAAAGCAUGUCAGCCACAUUCCUAUGUGCUAUUUCUAAAAUUAUAAAUACUUCUCACUGCAGGGCUAAGACCUAAUUCCUGAAGGCUUGAGGUAAAAUUCUUCUUUCUCCCACUAACCCUUUUCUUUAACUCAGUGUUUGCUAAACUAUGAAACAAAAUAUAAUGUUAAACAGAUGAACUUCAUACUUAUAUUAAAUAAUAUUAAGCAGAUGAAAUAUAAAUAUAUAUAUAUUUAUACUAUGCAUACAUAAACUUGCCCCAAAGUUGACAUUUAAAUUGAAAAACCUGAAGGAAAAACCAUAACCUAUGAUUAUGUAUAUGUAUAUAUCUAUAUAUAUACAGACAUGUAUAAGUACAUACACUUUAUCUUAAUGUAUAUUCACGUGUACCUUCUCUUUAUACUGAUAGUAAUUAUACCUUCAGAAUAGUGAUAGUUUCCUUUCUAAUUAAACUUACUUAUGCAAAAGAAGUGUCUAUUAAAAGGAAAUAUUAAAUUAAAAUGGUACCAAUUGCACUUGAAUACAACCAAAUCGUGACAGAGAUGGUGAAUGACCAAGUUCUUUAAUACACAGCUCCCGCAUCAGAACCACCUGUGGUGCUUGUUAAAUAUGCAGACUCCCAGCCCCUUGACACCUACUGAUUCAGGAGCUAGGCAUGUGAUCCCGAAAUACCCAGGGGACUUUUUUGCACAUCGAAGUUUGAGAACUACCUAAGACACAGCACCUAGACAACAUUAGGCGUCUUUUGCACAAUUCUCUGCAUGGAUGUGAUUGGUUGUGCGUUCCAUGUCUGGACUCACAUGCUGUCUGCUUUGGUUUGUGGAGCACUGAAGAAAGACCAGUCAGUUCCCCUGGUCCCAAGUGGGAUAGAAGAUGAGGUCAAAGACAUCUGAGGCUAGGUACACAAUCACACCAAUUCAGUACACAAGCCACCAAGCGCAAAAGACCCGGACUCUUAAACCCCAGACACAACACAGUUCCAUUGUCACCGUUAGCAGUCAUCUUUCCCUUAGAGGGUACAAAUCAAUGAAUUCCCCAUCUGAAUAAACUUAAAUCUUCAUGGGUAAUGAUUUUUCCUUCAGAUUUUUCGACUUACAUAUCUUAACCUUGGGGCAAGUUUAUUCUUCUUUUAAAAGCUACGCAAUUCAGCAAAACUCCAUGCACAUAGCAGGGCCUACCACCUGACUGUUUAACCCAUAGUUUACCAUAGACAUACAUAGAAGGACCUCAUUACAUUUAUUGUGGAUAUCAGACCUUUACAUCUUCAAACACAGAUGCAAUAUUGUACCUUACUAUACAACUUGGUUGUCAAUAGUCCGAGCUUUGGUUUGUUUACUUAACUGAUAUAAUUUGAGUUUUGGUAUCUAGGAGAAACAUUGGUUAAAUCCAUAGAAAAGUAAUAGAUAGAACAAUGUCAUUACUGUCCUUUUUACACUAAUGGUUGUUUGAGAUUAAGUGUUCAAUAUUCAUUAACACAAAUACUGGCAACAUGAAGUCAAUGCAAACAAAAUUCCAUUUUCAAAGGAUGUUAUACAUCCUGUUGGAGUUACACACAAAGAUGUGGGUUGACAUCACAGGGUUAAAAAUGCACACAUACACACAGAAUUUAAAUUCAACAUUGAGUUCAAAGCUUAGAUUUUCUGGAUAUUUUUCUCAAGACUUCGUUUUACUUCUCUGUGCUUGGACAUUAUAAAAUACUGAGAAUGGACUGAUACAAGUCAGGAAACUUAAUAUUACAAAUUUAUGGGGAAAGGAUGGGCUAUUCAAUUACUAUUGCUGGGACAACUAGUUGUUUAUAUAAUAAAUUUUCCAUUUCACACUACUAUACAAGAUUAAAGAUCUAAAAGUAAAAUUGGUAAGUUUGAAACAUACAGGAAAAAACAUACGUUUGAACUUGGUUAGGAAGUCCUUAAAAUAUAAAAAGUCCAACCAAAAUUUUUUUAAAAAAAGACUCCAACUUUUAAAAGUAAAGACUAUAUACCAAAAGACACCAUACACAAUGUGAAAAAAUGAGCCGAACAAUGGAAGAACGAAUUUUUUUCUUACAUUUUAGUAUUAAAACAGAAUACCAGGCAAUAAAGUGAACCAGAUGCCACAUUUAUCAGCAUUGAUAAGUCUGAAAAAACAUUAUGUUGAGUGAAAAAGACAAGUUCCAGACCAAUAUGUACUUAUAAAAUGUGAACACAUUCAAAUCAAUCCAGUAUAUUUUUAUUACCAGGAUGCAAAUAUAUAUGGUAUAAAGCAUAAAAAAAUGCAACUCCACGAUAGUGGUUAUCUCUGAGGAAAGAGAAGGGGGCACUAACUAUAGUACAAUGUUUUAUUUCUUAAGAAGACUCUAAAGCAAGCACAGUGAAUGAUAGAUACUGGUGCAUGUUAUUUUCUGCAACUUGUAUGUUUGAACUAUUUCAUAAUUUUCUUUUUAAUUCAGUAAAAAGUAAGAGAGGGAGGGAGGAGGAAAGGAAGGAGAUUGGGCAAGAAUGAAAGAAAGGUAAACAAUAUAAACUGGCUUGAGUACAUAUAAGAUCUGAAAAAUGUCUAACUUCCUUGAAUAAAAUUAACCUCAGGAAACAUGCCCAGGCCACAAACUGAAGUCUGAGAACCAUGCACUUGUAUCUACUGUUAACUGUGUUUGCCUGCUUGUACUUGCCACACGCAGGCAAAACUUGCCAAAUAGUAUUUCCAAAGAACUCCAGUUAACAAUUCACAGUUUGGAAUCCCUACUAUUGUUUUUCCUAACCAGAAACAUUCCCUUGGCUAUAAACUUAUAUAGGUCCCACUCAAUAACUGACCACUUAGACCAUUUGUCUUUUCUCUCCCCAUGUUUUAAAUUCCCUGACCACAGAGGCAAGUGAUUUUCUUUUAUAAAGUAAAGUGGAGGACGGGAAGAGGUAAAAUUAAACCUUUAGUUCAAGACUGUACAUUUUGUGUUCAGCUAACAGGAAUUCAUGUAUUAUUUAAUAUUUUUAGAUCAUAACUAAAUACUGUAAUAUCAUUAACAAGGAAUAGACAAUGCUUAUUGUAUUACUCAAAAGCUCCUACCCAUUUCUGUAAAAUGUAUUAAUCACAACAUAGCAAUAUUUCCUGAAGGCAUGAUAUUCUGGGGCCAGUGGCAUUGUGCCUGAUCCCUUCCGGAUCCAACAGAUGACUUAAUGAUAUUCUUUCUAGCCUCACUAGCUUAACUAAAUUGUAAAAGACUGAAAUUUCAAAAAGGCAGUAAUUUAACAAAGUCAAUUUGACUUUAAUUUCUGAGCUGGUAUUUUAGUUCAACUCAAUGUCCAGCAGUUUCUGGCACAUACUAACUAUGCUCCCAGUAAAUAUUUGUGGAAGAAAAGCCAAAAGCAAGGGAGAAAUACAUUAGGAGGGCAAGAGACAGGCUGGUGUGAGUCCUGUUUCAAAGGUUAUUCAAAAUCACAGAUACAUGCAUCUCGCUAAGUCACUCACCUGCGGGAUCUUGCUGUGGCUCCCCUUGCUCUGAGGAUGAGGCCCAAUAGCCUAACACGGCUCCUUGAAGUUUGUCCACCCCAUUAGUGUCAUAUCUUACUGUUCCUUCUACAAUCAAACUUCCCAUAGGUAUAUCUAUUCCACUCUGAAUUACUCAAUCAUGUGCAGUUCCCCGUAUUAACCACCUUCUUUUCUCUCUCCCCUGUGGACCCAUGCACAUGCCAUGUCCUCUGCCUGAACCUUCUUCUCCUGGUUUUUGACCUGGCUAACCUUUAUUGUUUAGCUCCCAACUCAGAGGAUGCUUCUUUCCUAAUCCUCAAAUACUGGGUUAGGAGGGGCCCAGCAGGGCCUGCACAGUGCCCAGCAGAGGCUCUAUCCAUCUGCAUAGCAAGGGAUAUGCUAUGCUUCUUUCCUGGUCCAUCCCACCCACUGCCCCACCAGUAGAGAAACUCAAAGAGAGCUGUGCUUUGCUCACGAGUACCUCUCUGGCCCAGUGCAUGGCACAGAUCAGGUCUCAAUAAAUACUUGCUGAAUGAAUGAAUUUAAGUGUUUGUUUAUAGAUGAUCACUAUAGAAGACUAGGAGAGAAUAUUACUAAUGCAUUAGAAGUCACAGCCCAAUAUGAGACAGAACCUCUGAGAAGUUACAAUUUAAUUGAAAACUCUUUUCAAUUUACAAAAAUUGUAUCCAUACCCCAAUUUUUCAGGAACUCUACUACUAACACCAAAUAAUGUGAGAUGUGGGUAUAUUUAUUUGCAUAGUAUUUUCAGUGUAAUGCACAAUUUUGUUUUCCUGUGAAUGCAUGCUAUAAUGUGUUCACUGGGACAUUUCAAACUUCCCUUAAAUACUCUCAUAAAGUAAACUAAAAAGUCUACUUCAAUUUGCCCACACUCAAAAAAUCCAACUGAGGGCUAGGAUUUAUAUGUUUUAGUUCAAAUUGAAAAUAAGCCAUACACCAGGUACAAAGACUCUCCUCUUUCCAAUAUUUACAUGACAAUAAAGUUUUCCUUUGAGGAACAUUUAUUAUUUCUUCUUGAAGUAAAGAACUAUAAAACUCACAUCUGAGAAAGGUACUAAUCUUUUAAAAACAAUUCAACAAUUUAAAUAAUAGCUUUUAAAUUUGAAGUGUUUAAUGCAUAAAAAUAUUUUCUGGGUUUCUUUUUUUCAUUUUUUGCUGUUUCUACACACCACUAAAUACACCUAUUACCACAUAAUUCAGGACAGCGCCCCCUCCAAAAAAAUUAAACCUUCAUCUAAGAAAUCAAAGAAUUUCAGGAAGAAAUGUAACUGAGGCAAAAAUGUCUGUAAAUAUGUAGUAGUUAACACACUGCUAUAUUUACCAAUUUAUCCCAGCUCUGUGCUCCCCUUUUCCCAUAAUAAUUAGGUGAACAUGCAUGAGGCAUGUCACUCUACCAUCAGCCAAAUGAUGAAGAUUGCAACUGCUUGCCAGGCAAAAGCAUAUGUUGUAAACAAGUGGACAGUACAAUCAAAUAAAGCCAAACAAAAUCUGAUACUUUCCACAAAUGUCUAAAUUUCAGGCAGGAAGAGAGGAAAAUCAAGUGUUUUCUCCUGCAAAAAAACCCACACAUAUGCUUUAAGUACUGCUUGUGACAAGUUCAAGUAUCUAUCCCCCCAAAAGCCACAAGCUAAGUCCCAUCUGUAAUCUAAGGAUCCUUGUCUAAGGGUCAAGAAGAUGUUGAACAAAGACCCUUCAAGUUGAGGGUAACUUUACUCACCCCUUCCCCAUCUGUUCCUCCUACAUAUACACAGACCAGUGAGAUCACUGGUCUUCUGGGAACCUCAGGGCACCACUCCUUUCACUUCUUUUGUCCCAUGAACCAAGUCCCACCCUUUCAAGAAUAUGCUUCAUGCAUCAGAAGGUAUGUGAACAGAGCUCUUUGUUUCAAAGAAACAACUUUCCCUUUUAGGGUGAAGGUACCAUCAGAAGUCAAGACAAUCUAAUAACCACAUGGUUGUGCAAUAUCCAAGUUGUUACUGAGACGGAAAUAAAUCUGUAUGCCUGUCCUUCCUAACUCAAGAAUUAAACACUUUUCACACACUGAAUCAAUGGUGAGUCAGGAUUAUAGCCCAAGUCUACCAAACCCCACUACUUCUUUCCACUAUGGCUCACAGGUCCCAUGUGGGCAAAGAUUGCUGUCAAGGAGUUGUUAGAUCAUUGGUAAAACUGGUUUGAAAAGACAGCCCUCACUCUACAAACCCAGAACCUGUGAAGAAUUCCUUAUAUUCCUAAUCUCAGCCUUAAAGUUGGUUCUCAGUGACCACUAGAAUGAGAGCUCCAUGUGUACUUUGCUUGCCCUGUUCAUGGUUAAAGGUUCAGUGGCUUAGAACACUACCUGGUACAAAGCAGAUAUACAGUAAACCUUUGUUGGUUUUAUUGAUGAAUGUCUCAUGGCUUGUUCAGAGAUGCACUUGCUUCUCCAAAGUAACUGCUCUCUUUAGUUUGUGCAUUAAAAGCCUUAAUGGAUGGUCUUUAUGAUUCUUUAAAGUCACUCUCAGAAUAUGGGCAAGAAAGUGCGCAGGGCUGAAGAGGGACUAAUAAAAAAGCCAAGGCACUGAGAAAUCACUUCAAAGACAUAAUGAAAUAUACUUUCCAAUUAAAAAGCAUUUGUGGCUGGAUGACUGUGUUCCCCAAAACUGUCCACACUCCUAAUCUCUAAAACAUGAGUAUGCUGUAUCACGUGAAAAUGUACUUUACAGAUGUAAUAAAAGUUAUGGACAUUAAAA